GAGUUUGAUCCUGGCUCAGAAUGAACGCUGGCGGCGUGCUUAACACAUGCAAGUCGAACGAAGCAGUUUAUUACGAUCCCUUCGGGGUGACGAUAUACUGACUGAGUGGCGGACGGGUGAGUAACGCGUGGGUAACCUACCUUGUACAGGGGGACAACAGUUGGAAACGACUGCUAAUACCGCAUAAGCGCACAGCUUCGCAUGAAGUAGUGUGAAAAGUUUUUUCGGUACAAGAUGGACCCGCGUCUGAUUAGCUAGUUGGUGAGGUAACGGCUCACCAAGGCGACGAUCAGUAGCCGACCUGAGAGGGUGACCGGCCACAUUGGGACUGAGACACGGCCCAAACUCCUACGGGAGGCAGCAGUGGGGAAUAUUGCACAAUGGGCGAAAGCUGAUGCAGCGACGCCGCGUGAGGGAAGGAGUAUUUCGGUAUGUAAAGCUCUAUCAGCAGGGAAGAUAAUGACGGUACCUGACUAAGAAGCACCGGCUAAAUACGUGCCAGCAGCCGCGGUAAUACGUAUGGUGCAAGCGUUAUCCGGAUUUACUGGGUGUAAAGGGAGCGUAGGCGGUUUUACAAGUCUGAUGUGAAAGCCCGCAGCUCAACUGCGGUAUUGCAUUGGAAACUGUAGAACUAGAGUGUCGGAGGGGUAAGUGGAAUUCCUAGUGUAGCGGUGAAAUGCGUAGAUAUUAGGAGGAACACCAGUGGCGAAGGCGGCUUACUGGACGAUUACUGACGCUGAGGCUCGAAAGCGUGGGGAGCAAACAGGAUUAGAUGCCCUGGUAGUCCACGCCGUAAACGAUGAAUACUAGGUGUUGGCUUCCAUAGGGAGUCGGUGCCGCAGCAAACGCAAAAAGUAUUCCACCUGGGGAGUACGUUCGCAAGAAUGAAACUCAAAGGAAUUGACGGGGACCCGCACAAGCGGGGGAGCAUGUGGUUUAAUUCGAAGCAACGCGAAGAACCUUACCAAACCUUGACAUCCCGAUGACAAAGCAUGUAAUGUGCUCUCUCUUCGGAGCAUCGGUGACAGGUGGUGCAUGGUUGCCGUCAGCUCGUGCCGUGAGAUGUUGGGUUAAGUCCCGCAACGAGCGCAACCCUUAUCUUUAGUAGCCAGCAUUUAGGAUGGGCACCCUAGAGAGACUGCCCGGGUGAACCGGGAGGAAGGUGGGGAUGACGUCAAAUCAUCAUGCCCCUUAUGAUUUGGGCUACACACGUGCUACAAUGGCGUAAACAAAGGGAAGCAAUUGGGUGACCAUGAGCAAAUCUCAAAAAUAACGUCUCAGUUCGGAUUGUAGUCUGCAACUCGACUACAUGAAGCUGGAAUCGCUAGUAAUCGCGAAUCAGAAUGUCGCGGUGAAUACGUUCCCGGGUCUUGUACACACCGCCCGUCACACCAUGGGAGUUGGGAAUGCCCGAAGUCUGUGACCCAACCGUAAGGAGGGAGCAGCCGAAGGCAGGCUCGAUAACUGGGGUGAAGCCGUAACAAGGUAACC
RNAcentral lists this ribosomal RNA (1491 nucleotides) under uncultured rumen bacterium. Its description in RNAcentral is "bacterial SSU rRNA". It matches the Rfam family "Bacterial small subunit ribosomal RNA". The record is from RNAcentral.